This is an RNA transcript of Pristis pectinata (smalltooth sawfish), 2385 nucleotides long. It is a transcript of the gene named RNA/RNP complex-1-interacting phosphatase-like, with no coding region annotated. The transcript is spliced from 8 exons. Lineage: Eukaryota; Metazoa; Chordata; Chondrichthyes; Rhinopristiformes; Pristidae. The record is from RefSeq and is a predicted model, not a curated record.
AGGUGGCAGGAAUACUCUGCGUUGGCCAGAGGCUCCCAGGUACCCAGGUUCAUCGCCUUUUAAAGUUCCACUGAACAAGCUGUUUGGAAGCCGCCUGCAGCGCCAUGAAGUCUUCACGCCGACUGACCUGUUGAAACAAAUUGGGGAACAGAAUGAGGAGUUGGGCAAAUUAUUGACCUCACGUUUACAAGGCGUUACUACGAUUCCACGGAGCUGCCAGAGGGUUUGCACUAUGAAAGGUUUUCACUGCUGGCCAUGAAGUACCAAGUGCAGAAAACAUUUUAAGUUUCAAACGAGCUGUUGAAAACAUUCCUAUUGGAGAAUAUGGACAAUGAUAAACUGAUUGGAGUUCAUUGUACUCAUGGCGUUAACAGAACUGGCUAUCUCAUUUGCAGGUAUCUGAUUGAUGUGGAUGGCAUGGAUCCUCAUGAAGCAAUUGACUUGUUCAAUAAAUCUCGUGGAUAUCCAAUUGAAAGGCAGAAUUACAUUCAAGAUUUAUUACAGGGGGCCUCAUCGAAGCAAUAAAGGAAUUGAUGUACUGGCUCCUUGCUUAGGCACACAGCAGAUGAGACAAUUCAGUCACCAGCCUAUGUUCGCGCCACGAGAUCGAGCCAAUCAAGUGAAAUAUCCUGCAAGGAAUGACUAUCGUGAAUUCAGUCACCUUGUCUGCCCACCCAGACAAUCUGCUAAUUCCUACCUGCCUACACAACGUUACUGGGGAAGUAGUGCCGUUCAUCAGCCAGUGCUAAACAAUGGACAAGGUGGUGCACCUUCUGACCGUACUGGCAGAUGGCAGCAGUCGGCCUGGAGGAAUUGCCAGCCCAAACCUUCAUGGCAGCAUUACCAGGUGGAACCUCGCAGGAUGAAAGGUCAGGCACUGCAUCCCUGGGCUGGUUACCAGCAACAUGAUACAAGGAGUACCAGGGGAAAGAACUUGAUCCCUCAAGGUCAGGUUAGAUUAAACACACAUCUGCGAUGGGACAAUUGAAAUGUGUAUGGGAAAUAUUUUAGUCACAUUGAUUAGGAGUAACUGCAACAAAUAAUGUGCAAGAUAAAACUGUGCAGUUGAGGAGUGAGCUGACAGCAGAUUCUGUGUCAGGGUAUUACUGGAUCGUUGAGUGUAUUGAUAUGUAGGAACUGUAGGGAAAUCUCGCUUCAUCCACCUUAGUAUUGUGUUCAACAAUCUUUAAUUCGUUUUCUGACAUCACUGCCUCUCGAACUUCCUGUCCCCGUCAGCUUUAUUCAUUUCGCAGGAUCAGCCACAACAACUUUCCUCAACUCAUAACCUCUCCAUCUAUAAUCCAUUAGAAGGACUUGGCCUUGAAUAGUAUGCUGGGUAUUCAGUCUAAGGGGAGACGAUGCAGAUUUCAUGCAGCCAGCAGGAUACCAACACACUGCACAGAUACUGUACAACUGUUCAAGAAGGGAUCAUGCUGCAGUCCACACUGUUAACACAGCUUCCUGUACAAGUUGAAACACACCGUCUGGUUAUAAUGCUUCAAAUCAGGCGCAGCAGAACAUGUCUUGAAAACUCUCUGGAGCAUUUAUCGAGUUCUCCCUCAGUCCUCGGUGUCUGAUUAACCCAUUGAUCACUCUCAGCCAUUAGAAGGAAUUAACUGAAGGGUCAGGAACUAAACUGGAGAAGGUGAUGGGGAGGGAGGCUGCAAUAGCGUUGGGUUUCUCCAUGACCCUAAUUGUCCUGGUCUGUGAGUCACUGGUUGAGCGUGAGGAUAUUCACUGCUACCCCCUUGUGACAGAAGGCAAUUGCACUUGUCCAGCAGAUGGUUUCAGUACAGGGUCAAUUUUUAAUCUAUCUAAAGGCUCCAAAUAAGAUGCUCAAAUUUCAAUCAGUCAGAAAACAUUGUUGAAACUUUUUUAAAAAAGUUAUUUCAUUCCAUGGGUUUGCAUUUGGAGGUCUGACUUGAGUGCUCUGACGCCUCAACUCUGCUCCUUACUUUUCUGUUCAUCUUGGCCUGUUUUAAAUAGGAAGAGGAAAACUCAUCAGGGUCCUUUCCUGAUCAGUGUACCUUUCUGGUGAGUAUGUGGCCAUUUGAGAGCAGAGAUUAAACUCAGUUGCCAAUUAAAGUGCCACAAGCUGCUGAUCCACAUUGUCGUCAUCUCGUGGAGGAUGGGCAACGGGGAUCUGGUGGGUGGCUGCAGCUUGUAAAUUGAGACCUCUGAGGUUCAGCUCAGUCAGAGGAGCCUCUAUGUUCUAGGUUGUACAUCUUGCUGGUGUUUGCAGUGAUACUUUGUGCCUCAUCUUUUUACCUGAUUCUCCCUAAAUCCAUAGCAUCAGUGUUUGAGGAAGACAUGAUUCAUGAAUUUCUAUGCUUUUCGGUUUCAAAUGUAAUCUGGAAUCAAAAUAAAUAACUUUUGGUCAUUUGU